This 484-nucleotide ribosomal RNA is filed under the name uncultured bacterium. Its description in RNAcentral is "partial 16S ribosomal RNA". It matches the Rfam family "Bacterial small subunit ribosomal RNA", at positions 30 to 507 of the family's 1533-position model. The record is from RNAcentral.
AUUGAACGCUGGCGGCAGGCCUAACACAUGCAAGUCGAGCGGAUGAAGGGAGCUUGCUCCUGGAUUCAGCGGCGGACGGGUGAGUAAUGCCUAGGAAUCUGCCUGGUAGUGGGGGAUAACGUCCGGAAACGGGCGCUAAUACCGCAUACGUCCUGAGGGAGAAAGUGGGGGAUCUUCGGACCUCACGCUAUCAGAUGAGCCUAGGUCGGAUUAGCUAGUUGGUGGGGUAAAGGCCUACCAAGGCGACGAUCCGUAACUGGUCUGAGAGGAUGAUCAGUCACACUGGAACUGGGACACGGUCCAGACUCCUGAGGGAGGCAGCAGUGGGGAAUAUUGGACAAUGGGCGAAAGCCUGAUCCAGCCAUGCCGCGUGUGUGAAGAAGGUCUUCGGAUUGUAAAGCACUUUAAGUUGGGAGGAAGGGCAGUAAGUUAAUACCUUGCUGUUUUGACGUUACCAACAGAAUAAGCACCGGCUAACUUCGUG